Arachis duranensis is the source of this 831-nucleotide long non-coding RNA. RefSeq lists it as uncharacterized. The record is from RefSeq and is a predicted model, not a curated record. Lineage: Eukaryota; Viridiplantae; Streptophyta; Magnoliopsida; Fabales; Fabaceae. The transcript is spliced from 3 exons.
UUGAUCUCCCCACUCCUAGUCUCUAACUCCGUUCAGCUCUUCGCCAACACUACUACCCAACUCGGCGUAGAAUUCGACCCCAUUGAGGAAGCCGCUCCACCGUCUCUUCACACUUCACCAUUGCGUUGCCAGCCUUCCGCUCGCUGCAACAACUUCAGAAGAUGAAGCUGCUCCUUGAGUUUGCUAACAAAUCAAAUUCGUUCGUUCCCAUACUCUGAUCUUCCUAUUCUACAUUAACUUAUUCUUAGGUGUCAGAUCCAUUGACUGCAACAACCGCGGAGUAUAGAAUUUGGUUGGGCUUCAUAGGACAGGAAUGGCUUAGAAAAUGGAGAGAAAGCUUGCAAAAAUGGAAGGAACACAAGAAAUUGAGGAGAUGACCAGCAAGAAGCGACGCGGACGCAUGGCUCACGUAUCCGCGCGAAUUGGAGAAAAUCACAGUGGCGCGAACGCGUGCCUGACGCAAGCACGUGGAUUGGAAUCUGCACGAGUAACGCGAAUGCGUGGACGACGCGCACGCGUGGAAAGGAAAAAUGCUAGAUGACGCGAACGCGUUGACGAUGUGGUUGCGUGACGUGCGCGAUCUGUAGAAUUUACAGAAAUCACUGGCGUCGAUUUUGGGCCGCAUUUUAACACAGUUUUCGGCCCAGAAACGCAUAUUAGAGUCAGGGAACAUGCAGAGACUAAGGACGAUUCUCAUUACGCAUAAUUUUAGUUUUUUAGUUUUCUAGAUCUAAUUUUACUCCUCCUCUAGGUUUUCUCUCUACACAUUCAUAGUUCUUAGAAUUUUGUUUUAUUGCUUUUUGGAUUGAGAUAUUGAGAAGAGUUACUACC